RNAcentral lists this ribosomal RNA (913 nucleotides) under uncultured archaeon. RNAcentral's name for it is "bacterial SSU rRNA". It matches the Rfam family "Archaeal small subunit ribosomal RNA", at positions 4 to 922 of the family's 1478-position model. The record is from RNAcentral.
CUGGUUGAUCCUGCCGGAGGCUACUGCUAUUGGAAUUCGACUAAGCCAUGCGAGUCAAGGUGUCUUCGGACGCCGGCAAACGGCUCAGUAACACGUAGGUAAUCUACCCUCAGGACUGAGAUAACCCCGGGAAACUGGGGCUAAUGCCAGAUAGAUAAAAGAUACUGGAAUGUUCUUUUAUCCAAAGCUUUUGUGCCUGAGGAUGAGCCUGCGCCCGAUUAGGUAGUUGGUGGGGUAAUGGCCCACCAAGCCUGCGAUCGGUACGGGCAGUGGGAGCUGUAGCCCGGAGUUGGGGACUGAGACAAGGCCCCAGGCCCUACGGGGCGCAGCAGGCGCGAAACCUCUGCAAUGCGGGAAACCGUGACAGGGGGAUUCCAAGUGCUCAUGCAUUGCAUGGGCUGUUCUUUGGUCUAAGUAACCAGAGGAGUAAGGGCUGGGCAAGACCGGUGCCAGCCGCCGCGGUAAUACCGGCAGCUCGAGUGGUAGCCGCGAUUAUUGGGCCUAAAACGUUCGUAGCCGGAUAAGUAAGUCUUUGGUUAAAUCCUACGACUUAACCGUGGGAAAUCUAGAGAUACUGCUUGUCUUGAGACCGGGAGAGGUUGGAGGUACUCCCAGGGUAGGGGUGAAAUCCUGUAAUCCUGGGGGGACCACCUGUGGCGAAGGCGUCCAACUGGAACGGCUCUGACGGUGAGGGACGAAACCUAGGGGAGCGAGCCGGAUUAGAUACCCGGGUAGUCCUAGGCGUAAAUGAUGCGAGUUAAGUGUGGGGGCAUCUACGAGAUGGCCCUGUGCUGUAGGGUAGCCGUUAAACUCGCUGCCUGGGGAGUACGGUCGCAAGGCUGAAACUUAAAGGAAUUGGCGGGGGAGCACCACAAGAGGUGGAGGCUGCGGUUCAAUUGGAUUCAACGCCGGA